UUCGAUCGGGCGAACUGUGGUUAAGGAACUCGGCAAAUUACCCCCGUAACUUCGGGAGAAGGGGGGCCACAGACUGUCAUACCCCACGCGGGUGGCAGCAGUAGGUGGCCGCAGAGACCAGGGGGAAGCGACUGUUUACUAAAAACACAGGUCCGUGCGAAGUCGUAAGACGAUGUAUACGGACUGACGCCUGCCCGGUGCUGGAACGUUAAGGGGACCGGUUAGUCCGCAAGGGCGAAGCUGAGAACUUAAGCGCCAGUAAACGGCGGUGGUAACUAUAACCAUCCUAAGGUAGCGAAAUUCCUUGUCGGGUAAGUUCCGACCUGCACGAAUGGCGUAACGACUUCCCUACUGUCUCAACCACAGGCCCGGCGAAAUUGCACUACGAGUAAAGAUGCUCGUUACGCGCGGAAGGACGGAAAGACCCCGGGACCUUCACUAUAGCUUGACAUUGGUAUCCGAAUUUAAUUGUGUAGGAUAGGUGGGAGGCUUUGAUCCGCGGACGCCAGUCCGUCGGGGAGCCAACGUUGAAAUACCACUCUGUUGACUUUGGGUAUCUAACUUCGGACCGUGAUCCGGUUCAGGGACAGUGUCUGGUGGGUAGUUUAACUGGGGCGGUUGCCUCCUAAAAUGUAACGGAGGCGCCCAAAGGUUCCCUCAGCCUGGUUGGCAAUCAGGUGUUGAGUGCAAGUGCACAAGGGAGCUUGACUGUGAGACUGACAGGUCGAGCAGGGACGAAAGUCGGGACUAGUGAUCCGGCACCUGCGAGUGGAAGCGGUGUCGCUCAACGGAUAAAAGGUACCCCGGGGAUAACAGGCUGAUCUUCCCCAAGAGUCCAUAUCGACGGGAUGGUUUGGCACCUCGAUGUCGGCUCGUCGCAUCCUGGGGCUGGAGUAGGUCCCAAGGGUUGGGCUGUUCGCCCAUUAAAGCGGCACGCGAGCUGGGUUUAGAACGUCGUGAGACAGUUCGGUCCCUAUCCUCCGCGCGCGUAGGAGACUUGAGAAGAGCUGUCCCUAGUACGAGAGGACCGGGACGGACGAACCUCUGGUGUGCCAGUUGUCAUGCCAAUGGCACGGCUGGUUAGCUACGUUCGGAAGGGAUAACCGCUGAAAGCAUCUAAGCGGGAAGCUCGCUUCAAGAUGAGGUCUCCCACCCCUUAGAGGGUUAAGGCCCCCAGCUAGACCACUGGGUUGAUAGGCCAGAAGUGUAAGCCUGGUAACAGGUUCAGCCGACUGGUACUAAUAGGCCGAGGACUUCACCA
RNAcentral lists this ribosomal RNA (1261 nucleotides) under metagenome. RNAcentral's name for it is "bacterial LSU rRNA". It matches the Rfam family "Bacterial large subunit ribosomal RNA", at positions 1685 to 2925 of the family's 2925-position model. The record is from RNAcentral.